Molecule: long non-coding RNA, 480 nt
Organism: Brassica rapa (field mustard)
Lineage: Eukaryota; Viridiplantae; Streptophyta; Magnoliopsida; Brassicales; Brassicaceae
Source: RefSeq, a predicted model, not a curated record
CUUGCUUGACAGCGUAAUCUGGUUUAAAUUUCUAAGCGAUCUCUCCCUGGCCAUCCCGUCGAUUUUAGCAGAAGGAUGGGUUCAUGAUUGGCCGACAUGGCGCGCCAUUCCCGAUCAUUUUAAGGAACGCUGGUUUCUUCAACUCGCUCGCAAACGCACGUGGGCACGAAGAUAUAAUUUUCAAGUUUGGACAAAUUUUAAUCUGGUGGCCAGAACGGUGUUUCGUUGUCAGAUGCGCCUCUUGAAGAGGAGGUGGGCACAUGGGGGUGAGAAGCCUGCGUGGAUGCUAACUAGAGUUUGGCGUGAUCUUGUCCACAUGUUUGAAGAAUUUGGUCCUGAUAAUUUUGGUUUUAGAAAUUGAUUUGUUGUUUUUGUUUGUAUUCAGCCGUCAAGUUUUUGUAAAGUUGUUUAACUCAGCCGUUAAGUUUCUAUAAAGUUGUUUAACUCAGCCAUUAAGUUUCUAUUAAGUUGUUUAACUCA